RNAcentral lists this ribosomal RNA (497 nucleotides) under uncultured bacterium. RNAcentral's name for it is "partial 16S ribosomal RNA". It matches the Rfam family "Bacterial small subunit ribosomal RNA", at positions 28 to 507 of the family's 1533-position model. The record is from RNAcentral.
GAGGAAAGAUGGAGGCGUGCCUAAUACAUGCAAGUCGAGCGAACGGACGAGAAUCUUGCUGCUCUGAUGUUAGCGGCGGACGUGUGUGUAACACGUGGAUAACCUACCUAUAAGACUGGGAUAACUUCGGGAAACCGGAGCUAAUACCGGAUAAUAUUUUGAUCCGCAUGGUUCAAAAGUGAGAGACGGUGUUGCUGGCACUUAUAGAUGGAUCCGCGCUGCAUUAGCUAGUUGGUAAGGUAACGGGUUACCAAGGCAACGAUGCAUAGCCGAACUGAGAGGGUGAUCGGCCACACUGGAACUGAGACACGGUCCAGACUCCUACGGGAGGCAGCAGUAGGGAAUCUGCCGCAAUGGGCGAGAGCCUGACGGAGCAACGCCGCGUGAGUGAUGAAGGUCUUCGGAUCGUAAAACUCUGUUAUUAGGGAAGAACAUAUGUGUAAGUAACUGUGCACAUAUUGGCGGUACCUAAUCAGAAAGCCACGGCUAACUACGUG